AGUUUCAACUGCUCCUGCAGGAAGAGAGCCACUUGUAGCAGGUCCGACUGGGCUUUUCUCCUGAACAGUCCCAAUGAAUUCAGAUGUCUGCGCAAUGUUGACGUCCUCAUUCAAGGUCCUCUCAACUGUCAAUCAACUGUCACUAAGCUGUUGGACUCAUCCCCCAAAAACAGUCCCACGUACCCAGCCCCAAACCCCAUCUCUGCAAUGAUAAUAUGAUGAUAAUAAAUGCUAGUUCAAAGUG
Gadus morhua (Atlantic cod) is the source of this 244-nucleotide long non-coding RNA. RefSeq lists it as uncharacterized. The transcript has 3 exons. The record is from RefSeq and is a predicted model, not a curated record. Lineage: Eukaryota; Metazoa; Chordata; Actinopteri; Gadiformes; Gadidae.